UAGCAAGGUGUUUGAUGAAAUGCCUAAGUUAGGGAUUUUACUUUUUUUAUAAUCAAUUUGAGCUGAAAUUAUGGUAUAUUUUGUAGGUUUUAAUUAGUAUCAUCCCCGUCCUCACCGCCGUCGAUCGCUAGCGUCGUCCCCUAGCCGGCACCGUACAACCUCGAUGAGUCGACAAUGGAUGUACGGUGACCGGUGCCAUCCCGAGUUCAUUACUGGCAUGCAUUAUUUUCUCAACGUGGCUGAGGCAAACAGGCAGUCGAAUGGUUUCAUGUAUUGUCCAUGUAGUUCCUGUAAGAAUAUGAAGGAUUACUCUA
This is a non-coding RNA of Lolium perenne, 314 nucleotides long. The record is from RefSeq and is a predicted model, not a curated record. Lineage: Eukaryota; Viridiplantae; Streptophyta; Magnoliopsida; Poales; Poaceae.